This 666-nucleotide long non-coding RNA is filed under the name Triticum aestivum (bread wheat). RNAcentral describes it as "long non-coding RNA (TAES_LNC018338)". Lineage: Eukaryota; Viridiplantae; Streptophyta; Magnoliopsida; Poales; Poaceae. The record is from RNAcentral.
UGCGCCGCUAGCCUCUGAACAUGAGUGAUUCCAUGCAAAAGGAAGAAGUGUAGAGUGUACUGUGCUUGGUGAGCUAGUCAGGUAGCUCCUGAAUUUACUGACCUGGCAUGUAACUUUGCAAUGCAACUCUUACCGUGUGUGUCCCCUGACAGAAGAAUUCACUGAAAUUCGUGCCUUGUACGCCAGUGAUGUUGCAUCAUCAUUCAACAUUGUUCUCCCUAAACGGGACCUUGAAGUUGAAUUGGGCAUGAUUCUUUGUUGACACUUUGCUGACAACGACUCCAGUUCUACCAAAAAAAUUGUUGUCAGUAUUCAUAAUCAAAUUUCACAACCUUUUUCAUUCUAGUUGUAGCUAUUAAGAAUCAAUUUAGUGUCGUCCAUCAUCAUGCAAGGGCUUAAACAUUUCAUGACGUUGCUGAUUCUAUCUUUAUUGUUUAGAGCUUUUUGUUGCAUCGUCAAGAGAACAGUAAAUUGUUCUGCUGUAUAAUCAGAGGCACCAAGUAAGCAUAAUGCAUACUUACAUUUUUUAAGUAUAGAUGUAUAAAAAAAUUGUAGAAGAAGAGUUCAUUGCCCUUUAUGAUGUCGGCAAUGCAUGCUGAAAAAAAUUUGCCUGGCCUGAAACAGAAACACUGUUUGCUUCAAUUUGGACCUUCAAGCAUUUUAAGC